UUCUCCCUCGGUCCAGGCCCAGAUGCCCCUCCUCAGCGGCAGGGGCUCCUGCUAUUUGAAGAAAGAGCAGUCCAGGGUGGGGCCUACAAUUUCAAUGACUGUGCUAAUCCUUUCUUUGCCUCCCUUUCGAGUGUCCUUCGCAGUCCAGCUGGGUCCCCUCUGUGCCUCAUUGUGUUUUAUCGGCCUUUUUGUGCGGCUCUGCGUAGGUAGAUGCCUCUCGGCGUGUUGGUACUGGAAGGCCAUCCUGUGUCUGCUGGAUGCCCUGCCUCCCUCAAAGCCUCCGUUAUUUCACUGUCCGCCUUGUGAGGGGGACGGGACUCCUUUGCCCAGCAAGGUUGCAAUGGAGAGUGUGGUUGGAUGAAGCCAUCACCCCAAUUUUAGGCGAGGCAACUAGCCAGUGGGGAUGGUGGGUGGAAGGAGCUGUCCACUGAGGCAGGUUUGGGUGGGGAACAAAUCAGGUCUGCUGGUAGGAGCGGAGGCAGGUGGGAGUGCAGCGGAUGGUGUCACCCUCCCCCAGGAAUGCAUCCUGUCGGGCAUCAUGUCUGUGAACGGGAAGAAGGUGCUGCACAUGGACCGGAACCCCUACUACGGGGGCGAGAGCUCCUCCAUCACACCCCUAGAGGAGCUGUAUAAGCGUUUUCAGUUGCUGGAGGGGCCCCCUGAGUCGAUGGGCCGAGGCCGAGACUGGAACGUUGACCUGAUUCCCAAAUUCCUCAUGGCUAACGGACAGCUGGUAAAGAUGCUACUGUAUACAGAGGUGACUCGCUACCUGGACUUCAAGGUGGUGGAGGGCAGCUUUGUCUACAAGGGGGGCAAGAUCUACAAAGUGCCGUCCACUGAGACUGAGGCCUUGGCUUCCAAUCUGAUGGGCAUGUUUGAGAAACGGCGCUUCCGCAAGUUCCUGGUGUUUGUGGCAAACUUCGAUGAGAAUGACCCCAAGACCUUUGAGGGCGUUGACCCCCAGACUACCAGCAUGCGUGACGUCUACCGGAAGUUUGAUCUGGGCCAGGAUGUCAUCGAUUUCACUGGCCAUGCCCUGGCGCUCUACCGCACUGAUGAGUGAGGGGAAGCUGGGUGGUGGCAGCCUCCUUGCCUGGCCCGCCCCCGCCCUUCCCACACCUGCCUGCCGUCCCCCUGCCCCGCAUGUCUCUUGUACUCAGCCACAGGCUCACCUAUCACCCUUUCCAUUUCCCCCUUGCAUUUGAUCCUCAUCUUCCCCAGGCCAUUCAGGGUGGUGGGAAGACUGGCCUGGUACCUGGGUGGGGGUAAAUCAGGGGUGCUGCUAUUGGAGCAUCUUCCCUAACCCCUGUCCCCCAGUUACCUGGACCAGCCCUGUCUUGAGACCAUCAACCGCAUCAAGUUGUACAGUGAGUCCCUGGCCCGGUAUGGCAAGAGCCCAUAUUUAUACCCGCUCUACGGCUUGGGCGAGCUGCCCCAGGGUUUUGCAAGGUGAGGACGUGGGUUUUUUCAGUUGGCAUAGCUGAGUAGGACUAGGGCCAGGAGUGGAGAUGGCCCCCUUGAGCAUUUCCCUGGUAGUAUUUCCUCCUUUCCAAUUCGUGGUCUUCAUUUACUUCACCCCAUCCUUGGGUGAUGAGGGCACAACACCAGUGCACUGAAGUACAGAAGUCUCCACACUUGAAAAGCCAAGUCUCCACAAAUGUGACUUGCUCAGUUCCCGGCAGCACCAGGACUGGGCCCAGGGUCCCGGAACCUUGAGUCAGGGCUUAGCUGGGAGCUGACCUAUCUCCAGAGAGUCCAUUCUGGUCCCUCAGGCUGUCUUGGUGCGGAGCACUGCUCCCUCAUGCCCCCUCCCGCUGGCCCUUGGCAGUGUAUUCUGAGCAGAAGCUCCAGAGAGGAAAGAGCCCGCUGAGAUGGGGCCAGAGUUCACAGCAGUGACAGAGCUUGGAUGAAUCCCGGCGUCUCCUGCCUGCUGCUUGCCUGGGGCAGCCUUCUUUGCACCUUGGUGGAGGAAGGGUGCAGUGGAAUUGGUCCCUGUUUCUCCUGGGAGGGGCCUUCACCAGAGCUGCUCUCACCACAGAUUGAGUGCCAUCUAUGGGGGAACAUAUAUGCUGAACAAACCUGUGGAUGACAUCAUCAUGGAGAACGGCAAGGUGGUGGGCGUGAAGUCUGAGGGAGAGGUGAGCAUUUCCCGUGCAGUGCAGUCCCAUGGUUGAGGUGGGGCUUGGUCACCUUCUCUCUGUGCUGCCGAGUCUCCUGCUGCACAGCCCCGAGGGUCUUGGAGCUGGGAACUGGGGGUCUAGAAGUCUUCAGAGUUAUGACUGUGGGUGAGAGGUCUCUUUCAGAGGCCACAUGCCAUGUCUGUGGUGCAGCAAGUGUUUUUGAUCACAGUGCCUCUGGGGGGCGGGGUGGCGGCGGGGGCGGGCCUGCAGCUCCUCCUGCAGCUCAGGGUAGGGCCACGCAUUCAGGAAGGGCAGUAGUGAUGGCUUGGAGGAGCGCCUUGUCUGCCAGAGCUGCCUGCCCUUGCUGUGAGCGCAGCCCCACGUCUACCUAAGGGAGGGAUGUGACAGGGGCGAGGACUUCUGGUGCCUUCUCAGGUGGCCCGCUGCAAGCAGCUGAUCUGUGACCCCAGCUACAUCCCGGACCGUGUGCGGAAGGCUGGCCAGGUUAUCCGCAUCAUCUGUAUCCUUAGCCACCCCAUCAAGAACACCAACGACGCCAACUCCUGCCAAAUAAUCAUCCCCCAGAACCAGGUCAACAGGAAGUCAGACAUCUACGUGUGCAUGAUCUCCUAUGCACACAACGUGGCGGCCCAGGGCAAGUACAUAGCUAUUGCCAGCACUACUGUGGAGACCACGGACCCUGAAAAGGAGGUGGAGCCAGCUCUGGAGCUGUUGGAGCCCAUUGACCAGAAGUGAGGGACUGGGCUGAGCCCAAGGGGGAGAGGGAGGGAGCCCAGCAGCUGGGCUUGGGGACCAGGAAGGGCAUGGCCCGUUGUGAGGCCUGUCCCCUCCCCUCUGUCUGCCCCUCAGGUUUGUGGCUAUCAGUGACUUGUAUGAGCCUAUUGAUGAUGGUUGUGAGAGCCAGGUAAGCAGCUUGUCCCAGCCCUGGCUCCUGGCUGCCCGCCCAGGGCACCUGCCUGACUCACCCUGGGCACUGGGCUCUGGCUGUUUCCAGGUGUUCUGUUCCUGCUCCUACGAUGCCACCACACACUUUGAGACAACCUGCAACGACAUCAAAGACAUCUACAAACGCAUGGCUGGCACGGCCUUUGACUUUGAGAACAUGAAGCGCAAACAGAACGACGUUUUUGGAGAAGCUGAGCAGUGAUUGUGGCCGCCCCCAGCCCCUGCUGCCCCAGCCUGUGUCUGUUCUCGAGGGCUCCAGCAUCCUCUGCUUCCCCCACCACGUUCCCAUCACCCACCUCAUUGAUCCACUGACCAAAUCCUUAACCCUAGCGAUGGUUUGGGAGGAUGGGGGGUUGGAUAGCAUCCUCUUUCUUGGCCCUUCCUUAUCCUAGGAAAAGAGGGUUCCUCUCCUUGCGUGUGUCUCUUCCCCCCACCCCUAACUCUUCUGCUCUGUUUGGGAAGAUGUGGAGGAAAAGGUGACUUCUGCCCCCACCGCUCUUACCCCCACUGUAGUGGCCUUUGGAGAUGCCCCCACCUCCCCCCACCAACUCUUGCGUGUUGGAGAGAAGGGGCCCUCCCAGCACAAAGUUGCAUUCCUCCCCCCUAAUUUAUUCUAAUUUAUUAACUUCUACCCACCCUUUCUGAGCCUGCAGCCUUCCCGUGUGGCCUGAGGGCUGUAGAGUGAGCUGCCCCAUCCCCUCCCAGCCCUUGCCCAGCCUGGGGGAGUGGGGAAGGCUUGGGCGUGGCCCCGUUGGAGGUUGAUUUGCUGUUUUGUUUCUUGUCUGUUGUGUUUUGUGUUCUGUGGUACUUGCUGAGAGAAAAGAAAAGUGAGCAAAGCAGAAGGAGGUGGGAAAAUGGACCCAAACCCCAGUGUGCCCUGCCCCAUGCCUUUCCUUUAGUGGUGGGAAACCCUUAUCUUGCAAAGUGAAUGUGUCCCCUUCCCCACCCUCUAGUGUAUUUCACAGAAAACAAAACCUCCCAAUAAAACGGUUGAAACCUG
Molecule: small RNA, 4086 nt
Filed under: Pongo abelii (Sumatran orangutan)
Lineage: Eukaryota; Metazoa; Chordata; Mammalia; Primates; Hominidae
Description: retained intron
Source: RNAcentral